GGGCCCGUAGCUCAGCUUGGUUAGAGCAUCGGUCUUAUAAGCCGAGGGUCACGUGUUCAAAUCACGUCGGGCCCA
Molecule: transfer RNA, 75 nt
Filed under: Candidatus Woesearchaeota archaeon
Lineage: Archaea; Nanobdellati; Candidatus Woesearchaeota
Description: tRNA-Ile
Rfam family: tRNA
About the family: Transfer RNA (tRNA) molecules are approximately 80 nucleotides in length. Their secondary structure includes four short double-helical elements and three loops (D, anti-codon, and T loops).
Source: RNAcentral